Molecule: long non-coding RNA, 5279 nt
Organism: Brassica rapa (field mustard)
Lineage: Eukaryota; Viridiplantae; Streptophyta; Magnoliopsida; Brassicales; Brassicaceae
Source: RefSeq, a predicted model, not a curated record
UUACUCUCUCUCUCUCUCUCUGACGGCUGUUCUUCUUCUUCCCUUGUCGUCUUCUCUUCUCCCUAAGACACAACAAGACAUAGAGACAAAAGAGAGAGAGAGAGGAGGCAAAGUUCGGACAUGAGAAAGGAAGAAGAAGAGACGACGGCCGGAGAGAAGAGAGAGAGAUCUCGGCUUGGUCGGCAAAGGCGAUAGCUUGGGACGGAUACUCUGAGAUUGAGGCUUCUUCUGUAAGAUUAGACUCUAAAGGAGGGAAGUUUGUGCUGAGGAUUGAGGAUACCGAUUUGGAGAUAUCAAAGCGAAGCUGCUGUUCUUCUCGUGGCUUGGUCUUGAUUGUGAUGAAGGUCCUGGGGUUGGUGGAGACUUUGGUCCUUACAAGACAAUCCGAAAGGAAUGCUCUUUACUUUAGUAUUAAUUUUCUUACAAGACUCGGUGAUGGAUGUAUCGUUCUGUGCCUGGGUAUUCAAUGUAAUUGCAACCAUGGUCUGCUGAAUUAAAGGCGGAGGUGUGAAGAUCUUUUUCCUUUCCACAAUCUAUGUGUUGAUGGGCUGUCCACUUUCUUAUGUUGUAUGUUGUGGAAGAAAAGGGUGGUAAAGAUGGUGAGCUUUUGGCUGAUGCGAUCGAGUGAUGCAGAGAUGGACACAAAAAUGGAUAUGCUUGAUGGUGAAGAUGUGGUUGCCGAUGAUGAUGAUACUCCCUCCGUUUCGUUAUCUGCUGGAUGCAAGUACCAAGGAUAUUGUAAAACUAAUAACGACUGCAGAAAAGUAUGAAUAGGCCAUGACAUAGAUCCAUCAUUUAUGGCUUGCAUUUUAAGUGAUCCAAAGAAAAACCAAUGUUGUUGCCUUACUCGUCAGUGAUAUAUCGAUAUUAUCCAGCACUACCUAUUAUAAGAUUUAAAAUUAAUAAAAACUAAAGAUAUUUAUAACAAUAUUCAAUUUAAAUUAGCAUGAGUAUCUGACCAAAAUCCUUAAAUGGUCAAGUGGGAAGAGCUUAAGUGGUUUCAUAUGUCUAUUGAUUAUACUAUGUGAAUCCAUUUUUAAACAAUGCAUUGCCACACAAUGGCAACAAAUGCAUUUGUCAUUUGUUAAUAUUGUUAAAGUAAUUAUAGUAAUUAUAUUGUGAUAUGAGCUUUCAAAGCACAUGAUUGUUUUAGCUGCAAAAAUUAUUUUCAUCUGAAAACAUUAUUUUACAUAAUUUAUAUACCUUCAACUUUCAAAUAAUAGAUUUAUAUUUUGAGUUGGUUGAUGAUACAUUUAUGAUUAUUUAAAAAGUAUAUUUAUAUAUUAAAUAUAUUUAUUCUUAAUUAUAAAUUAUUUAUUUUAAAAGAAAUAUUUUUUUAUAUAAAAGUAGAUAUAUAUAAAUAAAAAAUCUUAUGGAAAUAUUUUCCUAAAAUAUAUUAAUAUAAAAUAAAUAUAGAAAUAAAAAAAUUAUAUUUUUAUAUAUGAAAAUUAGUCUUAAAUAUGCCAAAUGUAUUUUAACUUUUAGUUGGUUUAAUUAUUUCCAAUACUACUCAAAAUAUAUGCGAAUCUUAUUAAGUUUUUAAUUUAUAGAAAUUAGUUUUUAAAUUGUAUUCUAAAUGAUAAAUCAAGCACUAUGUUGGGUUUUCCGCAAACAUUAUACAAAAGGGAUAAUUUUAGGCUGGUAUUAUCAUAUAAAGAUAUACAUGAUGAAUUUUUGGUCUAUAUUUUCAUUUUUUUCCAAAAAAAUCUUUUCUUAAUCUAUUAAAAUCAUAUUUAGACUUCAUGUGUUAUAUUUCAAUUUUGGACUACCAAAUAUAGGUUUGUUUCAAUCAUUUGAUAGAAUAUCAAUGACAUUAGGCACUACACAUGUAUGGUGGCUACCUUUAAUUUAUGAAAUUCUAUAUCCCAUUAUUUUUCAUUGCAAUAAAUUUAUUUUUAAAUAAAGAUAAAACAUUUAUAAACUAGGUGUCACAGUAGAAGCGAGUUAUCUCCAUAAUAUUCACUGUUUAUCCGGAUGAAGCUUUGUAUUAUAUCAAUCGAGGUGUCACAGUAGAAGCGAGUUGCUGGUGUUGUGGCGAGUUCUUGUUUUUCUGUAGUCAUGUAAAAAAAAAUAAUAAUGUUAGACAAUAUGAAAACAAAUAUAAUAAUACUGUAGUUUUGAAAUAUAGCUCAUUUUGCUUCUUUGUUGCAAUUAAUCUAUCAAAACAAGAAUUGUUUUUUUUUUAAUAAAUUAAACAAACAGAUAAAAAAAACAUGACGAAGUAAUAGUUAUUUGACAUUAUAAUUAUCAAACAAUAUUUUGUUAUUUUUUAAAAAAUUAUUGAUGGUUAUAUUACCUUUUAGUAGUCGGGGAUUGAUGCUUGUUAUGACUACGACUUUGUAUUUCAUGUUUGUCAUGCUUUGUAACUCCCUAAAAUGAGCUGCUUCUUUGUCUAAUAUUGUCAGGCGGACCACAAUUGUCCCUCUCUCCCAAGAAGACCUGUUUAAGGUCCAUCUAAUGGAAGUAUUUAAGUGUUUCAAAAAAAAAUGUGUGAAUCUAUAUUAUUGCCCAGAAUAUAUAUACAUAUAUAUGUAUAUAUAUAUACAUAUAUAUAUUAAAAAUACUAUUUUUGGUACCUGUUUAGAAGCAAACCAAGUACGACCUUGGUUGUUGUCCUGGGAUUUUGUAGAUCGCUACCUUGCAUCAAUAUUAUUUGUCCAACCACAUCUGGGGUAAUGGUUGUAUCGUGAAUGUGAUUUUUAAUUUUUUAAGAAGUGAUAAAGAUGAACUUUGACAAAAAAAAAAAAAGAUGAGAUGGUUCUUUUACCUGGUAGAUAGUUGGUGUGGGCUAUGCUGAUCAUGUUUUCGUAUCCUUGAGGAUGGAACACGUAAGAAGGCAACAUCGGUAUAUUUUCUAUUAUUGGACUAAUAGUUGUUGAUGUGUUGAUUUGGAUAAUGUACGGUUGAGUAGUGAGCUUGUACCGUUGAGUGUUUUUUAGAUGUGUAAAAUAUUGAAGUUGAUAUAUUUCGCCUUCUUGCAAGAUUUGGGUUGUUUCUUCUGGAAGUGAUUUAUCAAGCCUUCCUUCAUAUGUUUCCGCCUGUUUGCAUAAUAUAUAUUAUAAUUGUUGUUACAUGUUUCUUUCUUAGCUUAAUUAAUUAAUUAAAAUAUCACAUACCUGGAGGUCAAUACAAAGGAACGCUGUACCAAGGUCCUCGUUGUUUUUUUGUUGAUUGAAAAUCCGCCACAUACGCCAUAUACGAACCACCUUUGGUAGCCUUGACAUCUCCUUUUCCCUGUUUAAAUAACCAAACCGACAUUAUUUCUUAUGGAAAAUAAUAGAUUACUAAUGGAACUCUUAUUACGAAAACUGAGGCCAUCAUACCAAAACUGAUUUGGAAUUUUGAGCCCCUGGUCUACGUCUAAAAAUAAGACUAUGGCAUAGAGAAGACUAGAGUGUUCUAUUUUCUCUAUAAAUAUGUAGUGGCCAAUGUCUUGUAAUGUAAGCAAGCAAGUGUAAAAUCAGUUUCUCCACCACAUCACUCUAAGCUUUCGAAAAUCCAAAAAGUUUUCUCUAUUCUUGAACAAGAACACAAAACAGAGUAAAUAAACAGAGUCAAAACUUCUGAUAUGGCAUCUUGUUGAUCCGCACGUACUAUACGGGUAUUAAAAUACUAAACUUACUCAAAUUUGCCAAAAACAAUACAGAUUUUUCAUUAAUUCAAAAAAUACCAAACUUACAUUGACCUAGCCAAUUUGGGUAAGAGCUUAGUCCACAAUAAUUGUCGUUAAUCAGCCGUUUACUGUUCACGUUUAUGAAGACGCCGUCGUUUUAUAAUUAUAAUUACUUAACAAAAAUUUUCAAAUCGAAAACAUAAGAAGCCUAAACUCAGAAUCGGUUAAAGUCUUCCAACAUCAGGUGAAAGAGAUGAGUUCGAGUCAGUGUAAAAAAUGAGAUUUUGGAAUGUGAGGUUUCCCUUCUAAGUGUACUUUUGGAUUGUAGUUUAACAAUAUGAUUGUCUUUAAACCAUAGAAUUGUUGUUUUAUAGGGAACAUUUGUUCAAGUGGGUAGAAGAAUCUAUGCUUGAAGAGAUGGAAGGUGCAAUUCCAAAGCUUGAAAACACUGAGAAAGAAGUGUACAAUCUGAAAACAGAUGUCAAAAGAUGGUUAAUGUUCGGCUUUAGAUUUUCCCCUUCAGUCAGAAGGGGCAAAUCACAAAACUGAUCCAGAAAUAGUAACAUCGACUACCUAAUGUUUUUUUUUAAAUCUCGCUGGCGAGACGUUAGUUGGCCAAACAUAUUUGAUACAAAUUAUGAACAUAUUCAUGUUGUUCAGUUAUAAGAGUGAAAAACUUUGUAACCAUAGUUGCAGAGGAAAGAAAUGGAGAAGAAGAUGAAAAGAAAUAAAAGAGGGAAAAAAAUUAAACAGUUGAAAUAUUAGGAUUGGGCCGUACUCCGGCCAUAAUUUUAGCUAGAUUUUAACCCACGCUUUGAAAGCACAUAAUAUUUUACUUUAUAAAAAUUUAGUAAAAACACAUUAUAGGUUAUUCAUUUUAUUAGAGAUAUUAAAAUAUGUAAAUCCGUCCUACUUGAACCCGUCUUAGUUUUGAUCGACUUCAUUUAAAUCAUAAACCCAUUUUGGGGAGCAAAUUAAGCAAUCCGGGUUUGAAGCAGCUUGGGUUCAUAGCAAUCCCUCUACAUAACAUCAAAGUACAUGAAUAUUAAAUCAUGCUUUGAGAUUUUUUACAUAUUUGGAGAGAUAUGUGGGUUGCAGCUCCCGAUAGAGAUUAAUUCAAUUUUUUAAUAGUCCUAAGAUACUCACAAAUCAAUUAAAACAAAAUUAUGAACCCGUUUUGACCAAUUUGAUUUUAAGAUCUAAUAGGAUGUACAUUUACAUCUGCGAUAAUUAAGUUGCCCAUUUAGAACCGUUUAGACUUAUUUAAUGUUUUUUGAAUAUCCAAAAUUAUUUUUAAAAUUUUGAAUUAUUUGAAGGGAAUUUUAAAAAUAAAAAUAAGAUAAUUAAUGAUAUUUUUAAAAAGUUGGAAAGUAAAAUCAAUGUAACUCAUGUAUAAGAAUGUUACUAUGGAAAUGUCUAAAGUUGUCCUUUUUGUAUGGCAAUUUUAUCUUAAUGAAAGAUAUUUUUAUAAAAACACAAUGAUACAAAAAGUAAUAUACUGAGGUAUUGUAAAGGCAACAAAAUAAUAAUGAUCAUUUUUUUGGUAAAAUGUUAAAUAAUAAUGAUCAUUUUUACUAAUAUAGAUUGAAUAUAUGAAAGAUAACAUAAACUAAAACCUCUCAAAACUAUUCAAGAUAAAAAAAAACUCAAAGGAAAAAAAGAAGAU